This 425-nucleotide ribosomal RNA is filed under the name uncultured cyanobacterium. Its description in RNAcentral is "bacterial SSU rRNA". It matches the Rfam family "Bacterial small subunit ribosomal RNA", at positions 356 to 795 of the family's 1533-position model. Lineage: Bacteria; Bacillati; Cyanobacteriota. The record is from RNAcentral.
GGGGAAUUUUCCGCAAUGGGCGCAAGCCUGACGGAGCAAGACCGCGUGGGGGAGGAAGGCUCUUGGGUUGUAAACCCCUUUUCUCAAGGAAGAACACAAUGACGGUACUUGAGGAAUAAGCCUCGGCUAACUCCGUGCCAGCAGCCGCGGUAAUACGGAGGAGGCAAGCGUUAUCCGGAAUGAUUGGGCGUAAAGCGUCCGUAGGUGGCAGUUCAAGUCUGCUGUCAAAGACAGUAGCUCAACUACUGAAAGGCAGUGGAAACUGAACAGCUAGAGUACGGUAGGGGCAGAGGGAAUUCCCGGUGUAGCGGUGAAAUGCGUAGAUAUCGGGAAGAACACCGGUGGCGAAAGCGCUCUGCUGGGCCGUAACUGACACUGGGGGACGAAAGCUAGGGGAGCGAAUGGGAUUAGAUACCCCAGUAGUC